GCGUCGGUGGUGUAAAGGCGUAGAGCAUUCCCGCCCGGUCAGAGGGAGGUGCGGGUUCGAGUCCCGCCUGGCGCU
Molecule: non-coding RNA, 75 nt
Organism: Heligmosomoides polygyrus
Lineage: Eukaryota; Metazoa; Nematoda; Chromadorea; Rhabditida; Heligmosomidae
Source: Rfam